Brassica napus (rape) is the source of this 123-nucleotide non-coding RNA. The record is from Rfam. NCBI's taxonomy places the organism in Eukaryota, Viridiplantae, Streptophyta, Magnoliopsida, Brassicales, Brassicaceae.
GGAAUAUAAGAAUCCGUCUCUUAACUUUUAACUAAAAAAGCUAAGAACCGAUUCUUAAAUAAGAGUUUUAAAAGUUGUUCUUAACUUUUUUAGUUAAAAGUUAAGAGAGAGUUCUUAUAUUCC